ACGGAAGGCGGCAGCUAAGAAUAUUCCGCAAUGGACGAAAGUCUGACGGAGCGACGCCGCGUGGAUGAUGAAGGCCGGAAGGUUGUAAAAUCCUUUUAUAACUGAGGAAUAAGUAAUGUAAGAGAAACGCAUUAUGGUGACUGUAGGUUAUGAAUAAGCAACGGCUAAUUACGUGCCAGCAGCCGCGGUAACACGUAAGUUGCGAGCGUUGUUCGGAAUUAUUGGGCGUAAAGGGCAUGUAGGCGGUUUUGCAAGCUUGGUGUGAAAUCCCGGGGCUUAACUCCGGGAUUGCGUUGAGAACUGCAUAACUAGAGUCACUGAGGGGCAAUCAGAAUUCCAGGUGUAGGGGUGAAAUCUGUAGAUAUCUGGAAGAAUACCAAUGGCGAAGGCAGGUUACCAGCAGAUGACUGACGCUGAGGUGCGAAGGUGCGGGGAGCAAAUAGGAUUAGAUACCCUGGUA
This 460-nucleotide ribosomal RNA is filed under the name uncultured Treponema sp. RNAcentral describes it as "partial 16S ribosomal RNA". It matches the Rfam family "Bacterial small subunit ribosomal RNA", at positions 341 to 792 of the family's 1533-position model. The record is from RNAcentral. Lineage: Bacteria; Pseudomonadati; Spirochaetota; Spirochaetia; Treponematales; Treponemataceae.